RNAcentral lists this ribosomal RNA (1346 nucleotides) under uncultured bacterium. Its description in RNAcentral is "bacterial SSU rRNA". It matches the Rfam family "Bacterial small subunit ribosomal RNA", at positions 28 to 1381 of the family's 1533-position model. The record is from RNAcentral.
GACGAACGCUGGCGGCGUGCUUAACACAUGCAAGUCGAACGGAAAGGCCCUGCUUUUGUGGGGUGCUCGAGUGGCGAACGGGUGAGUAACACGUGAGUAACCUGCCCUUGACUUUGGGAUAACUUCAGGAAACUGGGGCUAAUACCGGAUAGGAGCUCCUGCUGCAUGGUGGGGGUUGGAAAGUUUCGGCGGUUGGGGAUGGACUCGCGGCUUAUCAGCUUGUUGGUGGGGUAGUGGCUUACCAAGGCUUUGACGGGUAGCCGGCCUGAGAGGGUGACCGGCCACAUUGGGACUGAGAUACGGCCCAGACUCCUACGGGAGGCAGCAGUGGGGAAUAUUGCACAAUGGGCGGAAGCCUGAUGCAGCAACGCCGCGUGCGGGAUGACGGCCUUCGGGUUGUAAACCGCUUUCGCCUGUGACGAAGCGUGAGUGACGGUAAUGGGUAAAGAAGCACCGGCUAACUACGUGCCAGCAGCCGCGGUGAUACGUAGGGUGCGAGCGUUGUCCGGAUUUAUUGGGCGUAAAGGGCUCGUAGGUGGUUGAUCGCGUCGGAAGUGUAAUCUUGGGGCUUAACCCUGAGCGUGCUUUCGAUACGGGUUGACUUGAGGAAGGUAGGGGAGAAUGGAAUUCCUGGUGGAGCGGUGGAAUGCGCAGAUAUCAGGAGGAACACCAGUGGCGAAGGCGGUUCUCUGGGCCUUUCCUGACGCUGAGGAGCGAAAGCGUGGGGAGCGAACAGGCUUAGAUACCCUGGUAGUCCACGCUGUAAACGGUGGGUACUAGGUGUGGGGUCCAUUCCACGGGUUCCGUGCCGUAGCUAACGCUUUAAGUACCCCGCCUGGGGAGUACGGCCGCAAGGCUAAAACUCAAAGGAAUUGACGGGGCCCCGCACAAGCGGCGGAGCAUGCGGAUUAAUUCGAUGCAACGCGUAGAACCUUACCUGGGUUUGACAUGGAUCGGGAGCGCUCAGAGAUGGGUGUGCCUCUUUUGGGGUCGGUUCACAGGUGGUGCAUGGCUGUCGUCAGCUCGUGUCGUGAGAUGUUGGGUUAAGUCCCGCAACGAGCGCAACCCUUGUUCACUGUUGCCAGCACGUUAUGGUGGGGACUCAGUGGCGACCGCCGGGGUCAACUCGGAGGAAGGUGGGGAUGACGUCAAGUCAUCAUGCCCCUUAUGUCCAGGGCUUCACGCAUGCUACAAUGGCUGGUACAGAGAGUGGCGAGCCUGUGAGGGUGAGCGAAUCUCGGAAAGCCGGUCUCAGUUCGGAUUGGGGUCUGCAACUCGACCUCAUGAAGUCGGAGUCGCUAGUAAUCGCAGAUCAGCAACGCUGCGGUGAAUACGUUCCCGGGGCU